UACGAAGGGAGCAAGUGUUAUUCGGAUUAACUGGGCGUAAAGGGUGCGUAGGCGGUUUAUUAAGUUAGUUGUUAAAUUUCACUGCUUAACGGUGAGCGAGCAAUUAAUACUGAUGAGCUAGAGGGUGGAAGAGAGGAGUGGAAUUCUUGGAGUAGCGGUAAAAUGCGUAGAUCUCAAGAGGAACACCAAUUGCGAAGGCAGCUCCUUGGUCCAUACCUGACGCUGAAGUACGAAAGCGUGGGGAGCAAACAGGAUUAGAUACCCCGGUAGU
This 271-nucleotide ribosomal RNA is filed under the name uncultured bacterium. RNAcentral's name for it is "partial 16S ribosomal RNA". It matches the Rfam family "Bacterial small subunit ribosomal RNA", at positions 524 to 794 of the family's 1533-position model. The record is from RNAcentral.